Molecule: RNA transcript, 1494 nt
Organism: Myotis brandtii (Brandt's bat)
Lineage: Eukaryota; Metazoa; Chordata; Mammalia; Chiroptera; Vespertilionidae
Gene name: F-box only protein 31
Exons: 1
Source: RefSeq, a predicted model, not a curated record
AUGGAGGAGUGCGCUUGCCUCUGCAGCGUGGGCUCUUCGCGGGGAUGUCGGUGUCCUCAGAAGCGCCAGCGCCCAGUUGAGAUGGCAGCGGCCUACGGCAAGCGGGCCCCAGCAAAAAAGCACAUCGAGGGGGAUGUGGCAGCGUGGUGCUGUGCGGGGAGUGGAGGAAUUGUGAGCCCCAUGCCACCCCCGCACUGCUCGCUGCAGGACCUGCCGGUGGAGAUGCUGGUGGAGAUCUUCGCCUGGGUUCCUGGCACCCACCUGCCCAGACUGUUCCAGGCCUGCACCAAAUUCCACCACAUCCUGCACAUCGACAGCAUCUGGAGAAGGCGCUGCCACGAGGAGUUUGGCGUUCGUGAAAACUUGCAGAACCUGGAGAUGAUGGGUCUGUCUUAUCGAGAAGUCUAUGCGAAGCUGUUCCCAUACAGACACAUUUUGGGAUUGUGGCAGCUAGAUAAUGAGUACUACAGAACACUAGUGAAUGUAGUGGUGGACGGCUUAUGCAUUACUGGUUGGAAAUACAGGCCUUCCCUUCACACCCAUGUGGGUGGCCCAAUACAUUUCAAGCCCUCGUUCAGAAUUCGCCUGAAGGAGAGGAAAUCAGCCACGGUGGAGUGCAUGGCAGGCAUCAACAGCAGGCCCCACAACUGCCACAUGCAGAUUGAGAAGGACAGGUUCACGACCCGGUGCAAGAACACAGACCACGGAACAGAUUUACCAACGUGGCUUAGGGAAGAAGGGGGGCUGGUGCUGGAGGACAGACAGCAGUAUGACUGGCUGACCUACCGCCGCCUCUAUCUCCCGCCGAGCCACCCGGACGACCUCAUCAGGCCAGGCCUCUUCCAAUACUACUACGAUGUCUUCGGCCUAAUGAUUGCCAUGCUCAGCUUCCAUGGGAAGUAUGCCAGGGUCACCAAGAUCACGGGAGUCUCCAAGAAGACGUUAGAGAUCCACCUCAUGCGCAGCAUCCAGCUGCGAGAUGGCGAGAUCUUCCGCAACUUCAAUGAGCUCUCCCGCGUCGUCCAGGAGAUUGACGAGCAGGUGAUCCGGGAGCAGCAGCAGCAGCAGCAGCAAGAAGAUGGGACUGAGGAAAGCAAGGGCCAUGGCUGGCAGAGCCCUGCCCAGCCCAGCGUGGGGGAGUCCGGGGCUGCAGCUUCGGAGGAGCAGCCUGUCCGGUUUGUUCCGCCUGUGGGCAUGCGCACAAGAGACCAGAACUACCCCCGAACCUGCAGGAUGUGUUUCUAUGCCCUGGACACUGUUACCUCAGAUGGCUCAUUCUACCCCGGGUGCUUCCCUGGAGUCUUCAUCCUGUUCGAUGAGAACCACUUCGGGUUCAUCUGGCUGGAGGCGAAAUAUUUCUUCCUGUGCGGCAGAGUACAGAACAGCUUCCAGAAUGUGGAGGCACCAUCCCCGCAGGCUUUCCUGGAGAUGCUCAAGAACAUUCAGUCCAUGCCCUAACCGGUUUGGCUCAGUGGAUAGAGCGUUGGCCUGCGG